Aedes albopictus (Asian tiger mosquito) is the source of this 292-nucleotide long non-coding RNA. RefSeq lists it as uncharacterized. The transcript is spliced from 2 exons. The record is from RefSeq and is a predicted model, not a curated record. NCBI's taxonomy places the organism in Eukaryota, Metazoa, Arthropoda, Insecta, Diptera, Culicidae.
GAAGUAUUCAGGCGUCCGUGUGAGUCAUAUCGAUCUUCGUGAUUGUUGAAAAGUAGUGUCCGCGGUGGUUUUUCUACCACCCCUCCCCCCUUUUAUGGAGGGAUACCGGGAUUGCGGCCUACUCCCGUUCAGGACCUCUUGCCGUAUUUUAAAAUACGGUCCUCACACGGGUCGGCUCGGAAGUCAAAAUGGCUUCCGAGUCUAAAUGCCAAGGACACCCCGUCGUCCGAUUCCGGACGAAUCCCUCGGGCCUCCGGCCCUAAUUACCCAGGAGGGCCUCUCUCGGCACGGU